RNAcentral lists this ribosomal RNA (502 nucleotides) under uncultured bacterium. Its description in RNAcentral is "partial 16S ribosomal RNA". It matches the Rfam family "Bacterial small subunit ribosomal RNA", at positions 28 to 523 of the family's 1533-position model. The record is from RNAcentral.
GAUGAACGCUAGCGGCAGGCCUAACACAUGCAAGUCGAGGGGUAGCAGGAUUAAGCUUGCUUAAUUGCUGACGACCGGCGCACGGGUGCGUAACGCGUAUGCAACCUACCUUAUACUGGGGUAUAGCCCGGAGAAAUUCGGAUUAAUCCCCCAUAGUACUAAUGAAUCGCAUGGUUUAUUAGUUAAAGCAUUGCGGUAUAAGAUGGGAUGCGUACUAUUAGGUUGAUGGGGAGGUAACGGCUCACCAUGGCUACGAUAGGUAGGGGGCCUGAGAGGGUGGUCCCCCACACUGGAACUGAGACACGGACCAGACUCCUACGGGAGGCAGCAGUGAGGAAUAUUGGUCAAUGGGCGCAAGCCUGAACCAGCCAUGCCGCGUGCAGGAAGAAUGCCCUAUGGGUUGUAAACUGCUUUUAUUUGGGAAUAAACCUCUUUACGUGUAGAGAGCUGAUGGUACCAAAUGAAUAAGCACCGGCUAACUCCGUGCCAGCCGCCGCGGUAA